RNAcentral lists this long non-coding RNA (6985 nucleotides) under Lupinus angustifolius (narrow-leaved blue lupine). RNAcentral's name for it is "long non-coding RNA (LANG_LNC001738)". The record is from RNAcentral. Lineage: Eukaryota; Viridiplantae; Streptophyta; Magnoliopsida; Fabales; Fabaceae.
AUAGUGUUUCUGAAAUAUUUAUUGAAUUUCCACAAUUCUUAAGACAUUUUGGUGGACCAUACUACCCUCUAUAAUUGCAUGAGUCUGUGCAACCAACACUUGAAGAAACACAUGUAGGCCAUUAUCUUCCAAUGCUUUGUCCCUUCACUUAACUCUCCAAUGGAACCCAAAGUAACUAAGAAUGCAUCUCAAACUCCUACACCGGCUUCUCAUAAAGUGAGUCCCCAUCUGGCUCAUUCUCAAAGGUGUAUAUAUCAUCUUCACAUCCUUCAAAUUUCUUUAUGUAUUCACUGCAUUGUUAUUGUCUUAGAAUGCCAAAAGCAAGUGGCUCAUAACAUUGUUAAAAUUAAACAGUUCUGAGAUGUUCUAGAACAAGUACGUUUCUGUUUACCUGUUUUUGGUGAAAUGGUGGACAAGAAGAGUAGAAUAAGCAUUAACUUGAGCAUGAACAUUGCCAUUUUUGGAAGGAGAGAGAAUUAGAGUGGCUUUGCUGAUAAAAACUCAGAAUAGUAUAGCCAAGGCACAAGCAAUUUGGUUAUCUAUAUAGUGAAUGAAAUAAUGGUAAUGAAGUUAUGGGCUUUGAUUUAUGGCUAACUGGCUAAGGAUGAAUUUUAUAUUCCCUUGCAAGUGGACCAUGCAGGACCAGAUUGAACCAACCUAGGCUCUACCAUUAUUAUAAAAUAUGCCAGUGACAAGGUCUGGUGGUCACAUUGGUCAUGAUAUGAGUAUGUCAUCACACUUUAUGACAAAAAAACUGAGCUGUAACAAAUUCAUUAGAAGAAGAAAUAUGAUUGAGUACAACAUUAAUUUGAUCUUUGAUAUUGACAUCAUUAAUCAAUUUGGUUUUAUAUGAUUACAAAAACUUCAACUUAGUCUCUUACUUUACUCACAAAGAGACCAAAUUAAUUGAUGGUAUCAAUAUCUGAUGAAUCAUAUUGAGAUUAAACUCAAAUUAAUAGUUAAUGUGGCGAUGUGAUUUAACACGGCAUCACAUUAUAAAGAAGGAAACACAAAGAAAAGAGUUAUUUACUUAGCUUUCCCUACUGUCAAAUGUUCUUCCAACUCAACCAAGCUUUUUACUUUCUUCUGACAAAAUGAUUAUUUAUCUCACUUUUCUCCUCCUAUUCUAUUCUCUCCCUCUUUUUCUCUAUUAGUGGCCCUCAUUUUGUGUUUGUAGCCAUACUUGGAGCAGAUAGUGGAAUCCUCCGUAAAGUGGAUAAACAAAUGUAGCUGCAUGGAGACAUAGCAGUUCCUCCAUCCUCUGUAAUCAAUCCAUUCACAAAUCCCAUACAUAACUAAUUAAAUAUAUUAAUCAACUAGUUAAAUCACAAAAUUUAAGCGACACAUACAUAACUAACAACAAAAGCAUGUAUUCAUACAAACAAUCCAUGGAGCAAGCCUAGUUUCAGUGAUUUUAAGCCUUUACCACUACCUCUUCCAUCUACAAGGCUUACACUGUCUUGAAUCUAAUAGAAUUAAAUUAGAUUGACUCUAAAUCAAUUGUUCAACAUGAGGAUGGCAUAGCAAUAUAUAUUAUGUAAAAGAUUAUAACACACACUGAACCGAUGAACCGUUACUCAUGGAUUUGAUCGGAGAGGGUGACAAUCAUUGGAUUGACUAUCUGCCAUUAGAGGAACAUUAUAGAGAAGAUCAUGGAUUUUGGAAUACAUCAGCAUCGAAGAAGGGUCACCACCACUACUGCUCUGUGAUACACGAGAACUCUCCUGCAAUUUGAUCUUUUCAUACAGAUAUUGCUUCUCAGCCUCAGCCUCACUUAACUUUUGUUUCAAAUAGUUGUUAGUAUACUCUUCCUCUGAUUUAUCUGACUUGGCAAGAGCAAUCCUCUGGAGCCUCUCAGCCUCUUGUUUAGCCUCAUUAGCCUUCAAUUGGAACAUCCCAGCCUCUGCAUUUUUAAGCCUAACAAUUCUCUCCAGUUCUUCAAUCUGUGACUUCUUUUUUUGCCUAUCCAUCUUCAGUUCUGCUGCUUCUCUGGCCUUAUCUGCUAAUUCCCGGUCACAAGCUUCGAGAGUCAAGCGAGCCUUCUUGAACAUUCUCAUUUUCUCAUCAGCUACCAUUUCCAUCUUUCUUAUAGCCUCUUGUACCACUUCAGCAAUUCUAUUGCAUGCUUCCUGUGGAGCAAUCAGCCUUCCAGUUUCUGCAUUUUCCAGGCCCUUUGGAGAGUCCAUCUCAAGCUCUUUAUUCAAGAAAAGCUUUGGUUAACACUCAAACAUCAAGUUGAAAUAUAGCAUUUUUUAUCAGUAUAGCUCCCCUAAAAGAAUAGCAAACAUACUUUUAUAUAACCGAAGACUUAUAUCAUGGGAGAAAUUGCAAGCAAACUAGAAAAAUUGUACCUUGGAAAACCAUCAAUAUUGCCCUGCAUGCUGCCUUAGCAUCCAUUUUUCCACUAUUCAGUUUUCCCUUGAGAUCGUCACACUUCCAAAAUAGUUUCCUUCCUCGCGGGUCUUUACUACCAUGAAAGAUCCUACUAACAAAAUCAAGUUCCCUCACUAAGGCCUCCCCAUCCCAUGAUGGGGCACAAUGUUGGAAGACAUCUUUGACCCAACCCAACAGUUCUGAAGUCCUGUUGCAUGCUUGACACCUGAAAACCAUUUCACUUGGUCCUACUCCACUUUUCACAGAAGGGCCCGUGCAAAUAAGUUGCUCACGAAUGGCACAAUCUGUGUGAGUCCAAUGAGAACACAAAUCACAUCCAAUCCAGCGGCAUGUAUUUACUUGAAAGUCAAACUUGCUGCAGAUUACACACAUGCAAAGAUUGCAGAAACCAUUGUUGCUGGUGCAUGUAUCACAGGUACAAUCAUCAGCCGGAAGCUGGUUUUGGCAAGCAAUGUUUCUGCAUCUCUUAUACACAAAUAUCUCAAUUAGGGAAGUCUGUGAUAGACUGAUGCUAGGAUGUAAGAAUCCUUGAAUUCCAGUAUUUAUGGCAACAAGGAUUUCAAGCUGCACACGAUGCACUCUAAUCAAUGUCUUGGCUGUUAAAUCAGAUCUACUCUUAACAAGCUUCUGCAAAAUGAAAAACUCAUCUCUAUGUUGUGAGUCGCUCCCUCCCUCAAGGAUAACUCUAAGUCCAUUUUUCAGCUCUUCUAGAAAUUCUUCAGGUAGACGGUGCAUUUUUUCAUAGAUUAUAUCAACUCUUUCUCUUGCGAUGUCCUGAAGACUAAUUUUGUCUGCAUUAGAAACAUGGCGAGUAACCGACUGCUCAGGGAUAUCAAUCUCAGUUUUUCCAUUAUCCAUCUUCUUUGCUGCAAUUGCAACAGCAGUAGGCCAAGUUUCUCGAGAACUGGCACUUUCAGUUUGAGAUUCAUGGAGAUUGUCAGAGUUCGACCGAGGUUCCUCUGGAGAAAGGCGAGGAUCCGGAGAAACCAGACAUAGAGAUGUUUGAAGUCCUCCAACACGUGAUUGCUGACGCGGAGGGAGCAUUUUUUUGUAAAGGCUUCUGGUUCAAGUUAGGCCUGGAACCCUACCCAUGAGAAGAUUUACUUUGUCAGUAAAUAUAUGCAUCAUAUACCACCAUACAAGACUAUUACAUAGUAUUUGGCUAUUUGCUAUGCUCAAAAUUAGGAACUUUUGAAAAUUCAUAAUCAGGUAAAAAUUUGCAGCCUUUCAUCCUCAGUCCCGACUCCAUACAAACCUCUAAAAUGAAAUAAAAUAAAUAAAUAAAUAAAUAAACGAAAAGGAUCCAGCCCCUCAAAAAAAGUGAAGAAGCAAAUAUUAUCAUAAUCCACACAAGAUUAGAGUUGAACACAAGUGAUUUAUGUACUAUAUAUGCAGAAAAUCUUAUUAUCGCAGAAUUCAACUAAUUCUUCAGCUGAAAUAAUCAGAUCAAGUAAUAAAGUUGCAAUUUAAACGACCCACCGCAUAAAGUUGACCUAAAGUUUAGCAGUUGAAAAGGAAUAAACAUGAUGAUGAUGAUAAUUGAAAUUCAUGAAAUGAAAGCAAAGAUCUUCAAUUUAUGUUAUAACAAGUGAAAAUGGAUUGAAAAGCUGACCCCUGUGGAUUGAAGGAUUGGAGGAUUGGAGGAUUGGAGUGUAUCUUUUUCAGUUUCACGCAUCAAACCAAAGAAAUGGGUUUAAGUCAAAAUAAGUAUAUGGAUACUUUCCCCACUUUACCCCUCACUUGGAACAAAAGGUUGAAGCGGUCAAAUACCAUAUAUGUUAUUAUAAUGUCCAUGUUUGUUACUUCAAUAAAUAAUCACUCUCAAGUCUCAACCAUCUUCAUAUACAAUAACAUAUCUUAAUCUUAAAUUUCACUAUAUAACAUAAGAAACAAACUAUUAUUUUGGGUGAGAGAGGUCCAUAUACAAUAACCAAAACCACAGAACCGAUACAAAACCUCCUUAAUUGAUGGAUAAAAUAGGGGUGUUAAAUGCUUCUAGUUCAUGUUUAAACAUAUUAUUUGAUUGCUAGUUUAGACAAAAUAGAGGUUAAUUUUCCUACUUAUACCUAAUUAUGAUAUCUUGGAUAAGCAGUAGCACACCUCGUCUACAAUUAGACCAAACCAAAUGAUAUUAUUAUCCUCAGCAGGUUUAACUAAAUCAGUAUGUGAGAUUGAGCAAAUUGAUCACAGAUUAUUAUUAUUAUUAUUAUUAAGACGCCGCCUUAGUAGAUGUGUCAAUUUGUUGGUCAUAAAAACUGUGACUUUAAAGUGGAACACUUGUUGCUUUUGUCUUUGAAUAAUACUAGUAAAAGCUACAAUUUCUAUAAAGGACCCAAACCAGUAUUAGUAAUCCUGGGUGAAGGAAUGCAACACAUUCAGAAAAGAACCAAUAAUGAGCACUAUAUAUCUGCAUCACAUGUCAUGCUAGUACUAGUAUAAACCCUACAUCAGCUUGUAUUAUGGAUAGGAAUGAUUUUUUACCACACUAUUAUUCCAUAGGGGAAGGCCCUCCUUCAAGUUUGAUAUCACGCUCACUACCUAACAUGACUGCCAUUAACAUAAGUUUGCCUGCAUCUGCAAAAUCCUUGUGCUGCAUCAAUAUUGUUUCAACUGAAGAACUCAUACCAUUCGGAACAGAAGUAUCCUCCAAGUUUUCUUGCCUCAACGGCAAUACAUGAUCAAACCCUUUUUCAAAGGUUUCAGCUCGCGAUCCAUAACACCUACUUGAAGCCUGGAAAAGUACAGUAUUUUUCAAGUUUUGCUGGGUUUCAUCGUCACUCCAUCCUCCAACUGUGUAAGAAUUUUGUAAUAUGCUCCAAUUAUCAUGAGAGGCAGCAUUCUUCCAGCAAUCCUCUAAAAGCUUUAAGUGGACCUUACGGAACGACGAACUGGUCCACGCAAACACGUCAAAGGCCCACAAUGAGAGUUCCCGCUCUUCACCUUCCAGGCACAGCUUAAUCAAGUCUUCUGGAUGAAGCAGCUGAUGUUCAACAUGUUCCUUAUCUUCAAUGGAAUGGAGACACUUCAUUACCUUCUCCUGCAGUUAAAGUGUUUUAAGUUAAAAUGGAUGCAAAGGAACACUAAAAAGCGUGAGACAGAGCUUAUCCAUGAUUCAACAAAUUCUACCAAGGCAAAUACUGAUUUCAGACCUCAAGUGGCACAUACAACAACUAGAACACAAGUUUCAAUGUCAUUAGUCAGACAAUGUCGCUGGUGUUCUUAAUAAUUCAACCAUAACCCAAAUCCCUAUAUAAGGUUCCUGUACCUCUAAAACUAAGUUCUUAACAAUUUGAGAGUAACUUUCAUUCUGUGACAACUCUCACAUCAAACCCUUCAGUCAUGUGUUUAACUAUUUUUUUCAAAGGGGAAACAUAGAGAAUAGUCCAACCAAUAAAUGGAAUGAGGUAAAUGAAGAACAAGAUUAACUGGCAAUUUUAGCCUCACUCAAAAACGUUAGUAAUGUGGAGGAAAACUCUCAUCUGUAGAAAACACUAGUCAUAAUUGAGUUAUGUUAAUGCACAGUCCUAUGGUGAUUUGUUAAAAGAAAGCUUGUUGACAAAACAUAAAGAGACUUGUUUUUUGUGCAUUGGCCUACAAAACAUAUUUACAUUACUAGAAUUGAACAUUCAAAGCAUUUUAGCAUCAGACUUGUCUUGAUAUUCACAUAGCCAAUUAGCUCUAAGCCUUAGGCCUCAGGGAGGGUUGAGCUCAAAAGUUAUUAAGAAAGCAUAGAGCCAGAGAUAGGUCCCAGAGUUUCAUUUAUGCAUUAUAUUCAUGAUGAGUCAAUUAAGAAAAAGAUCAACAACUUCAUCUUCAAAUUGACAAUUUCUUUUUUAGAAAGAAAAAAAAAGCUCAAAUCUACCUGUAAUUUUAGAAUCUUCAAAUCAGCCUCAAUUCGAUCCACCUUCACCUGAGUACCAGCAUCCUUACCAGCUGUUGAACAAGAAAGGGUAAUAGUAUUUAUCAAAAAUGCAAUUUACAAUAUAUAUUUUCUCAUAUCCAAUAAAAAAUAGGCAUUUAACUUGUAAAACAACUAGAGUCCAAUUGAAAAUUUGGAUAUAUAUUGGAUCUUUUAAAAUAAAAAAGCCUGAAAAUAAACACCAACAGAAUGUUAGUACUUUAAGAACCAGUCUCAAAGGUGAACGAAUUAUAAGGCAUACAGUCAUUGCAUAAGGCUAAAAGCAAUGUGAUGUUUUUUGCAUUAUCCAUAUUAAGUGACAUUGUCUGUGACUUUAAAUAAAGAGAACGUCAGUAUAGGUAUCCUAAAGAUAUGGUACAGGCAAAAAUGACUUCAAAAUCUCACAGGUUAGUAGCUAAUAGAGUUAAUAAGAAAAAGGUAAAACUAGAUUCUGUAGAUAUAUAAAUAGCCUGGAAGGAAAUUAAAAAAAAACUGCAUAAGACAUUAAAAACUACACUACUACAAUAGCCAUACCGGCAAAAGCAGCUAUCUUGGAGAGAUACAAAAGCUUCUCUCUGUCCACCAAAUUUAGCUUCGACUUAAUAUACUCCUCUUCUCCUUCUUCUUCAGCAACUGAGGUAGACUGCAAGUUUUGAGUGAGAGCCAAUGCAUGAAGUGUAUCUGAAGCAGAGG